UGGGGAAUUUUGGACAAUGGGCGCAAGCCUGAUCCAGCAAUGCCGCGUGCAGGAAGAAGGCCUUCGGGUUGUAAACUGCUUUUGUCAGGGAAGAAAUCUUCUGGGCUAAUACCCCGGGAGGAUGACGGUACCUGAAGAAUAAGCACCGGCUAACUACGUGCCAGCAGCCGCGGUAAUACGUAGGGUGCGAGCGUUAAUCGGAAUUACUGGGCGUAAAGCGUGCGCAGGCGGUUUUGCAAGACAGAUGUGAAAUCCCCGGGCUCAACCUGGGAACUGCAUUUGUGACUGCAAGGCUAGAGUGCGGCAGAGGGGGAUGGAAUUCCGCGUGUAGCAGUGAAAUGCGUAGAUAUGCGGAGGAACACCAAUGGCGAAGGCAAUCCCCUGGGCCUGUACUGACGCUCAUGCACGAAAGCGUGGGGAGCAAACAGGAUUAGAUACCCUGGUAGUCCACGCCCUAAACGAUGUCAACUGGUUGUUGGACGGCUUGCUGUUCAGUAACGAAGCUAACGCGUGAAGUUGACCGCCUGGGGAGUACGGCCGCAAGGUUG
Molecule: ribosomal RNA, 548 nt
Filed under: uncultured Pseudomonadota bacterium
Lineage: Bacteria; Pseudomonadati; Pseudomonadota
Description: bacterial SSU rRNA
Rfam family: Bacterial small subunit ribosomal RNA
Source: RNAcentral